CGGCCGCCCCCGCCGCCGAGCGGACAGAGACAGAGACUGCGCCCGCCCGGGCGGGCGGCGGCCGCGGGGAGCGGCGGCGAGCAGCAGACGUCCCCGGCCACGACCCCCCGGGAGCACCCCCCCGCCCGGCAGCCUCCACCGACCGACAGCAACAACGCCUCCGACCCGCCACCCAUCGCUGGAUGUUCCUCCACUUUACCCACCGUAUCAAACAACUUUUACCAGUAAAUAUCGGUUUAUUCCUGAAACCAGAAGCCCUAAACAAACCUUUGUUUAUAAGAAAGCAAGGCUUCUCUAUCAUAAAGGAAGCAUAAAGUGGGAAGGAGGGAGAGAAUUUGAACAUUGCCCGCCCUAAACUAGUUGUAAACUCUUCCCCAAAGGCUGAGAGAAAAGGCAGGUGAAAGGUCUGAUCCUUAAAAGGACAUUGCUAGGUACUUGG
This 439-nucleotide long non-coding RNA is filed under the name Anas platyrhynchos (mallard). RNAcentral's name for it is "lncRNA (ENSAPLG00020013135.1)". Lineage: Eukaryota; Metazoa; Chordata; Aves; Anseriformes; Anatidae. The record is from RNAcentral.